This 2941-nucleotide unclassified non-coding RNA is filed under the name Hevea brasiliensis (rubber tree). Lineage: Eukaryota; Viridiplantae; Streptophyta; Magnoliopsida; Malpighiales; Euphorbiaceae. The record is from RNAcentral.
AGUUCUAGUUUUGGCCCACUCAAAAUCAGCGGAGACAAUGAGAGAGUUCUAGUUCUUCCAUGAUUCCAAUAUCAACCUUCUUUCUUUGUCUUCAAGCCAAAACCCCACAAAAACCUUAACGUCUAUAGGCUUGAAAAGGUAGAACAAGCACAUGUCGACUCUCCCCAAAAUUGAAACUGUUCUGUCAACGGCAGCCUCUGCCAUUCUCUUCUGUUCCAUAGCCAGAAAUCUCAUCCCCCAAGCCGUUGAGGAAUACCUGCAUUCAACCCUUCAAAAUAUAUCAGCCCGUUUCUCUUCUCAGCUUGCUGUCAUCAUUGAAGAGUUCGAAGGCCUCGCUGUUAACCAAAUGUUUCAGGCUGCUAAUCUAUACUUAGGCUCCAACUUAUCUCCCAAAACAAGAAGGGUCAAGGUGAAUAAACCAGAGAAGGAGAAGGAACUGGCAGUUACUAUUGAUAGGGAUCAAGAAUUGGUUGAUGUGUUUAAAGGAGUGAAGUUGAAGUGGGUUUUAAUUUCUUCACACAUUGAAAUGCCUGUUGCUUCUAACAAGAAACGCCAUGACAGCGCAUUGCCACGAUCUGAGCUACGAUUCUUUGAGCUGAGUUUCCAUGAGAAGUAUAGAGACAUGGUGUUGAGCUCUUAUUUACCUUACAUUCUUCAAAAGGCGAAAGAAAUAAGAGAAGAGAAAAAGACACUGAAGCUGCAUACAGUCGACUAUAAUGGUACUGAUUACUGGGGAUCCAUCAACUUUCAUCAUCCUGCAAAAUUUGACACAAUAGCAAUGGAUCCAGAGAUGAAGAAUACGCUGAUUGAGGAUCUUGAUCGAUUCAUAGCAGGGAAGGAGUUCUAUAGCAGAGUAGGCAAGGCUUGGAAACGUGGGUAUUUGUUAUAUGGACCACCUGGAACAGGAAAAUCAAGUUUGGUUGCUGCCAUGGCUAAUUAUCUCAAGUUUGAUGUUUAUGAUUUGGAUAUGAAGGAGGUUCAAUGCAAUUCGGAUUUAAGAAGGUUGCUGAUUGGCACGGGCAAUCGGUCCAUAUUAGUGGUUGAAGAUAUUGAUCGUUCUUUCGAGUCUGUGGAAGAUGAUAAGGUAAGUUCUUAUAUCCAGUUUCAUUUAAAUGCAAUUUGUAUACAAGGUUAGCCAUGAUGUCACAGUUACAUUCAUGAUUGGGCCAAUAAGCAAUUGAACAUACCUGAACUGUUAAGUCAAGUCUUUCAUCCAGAUGCUUCAGUCCAAAUUGUUCUUGUGUUCAGCAUAGUUAGCCCAGUAAACUUGCCUUUGCAUCACAGGUUACUCUCUCUGGUUUUCUGAAUUUCAUUGACGGCUUGUGGUCGAGCUGCGGAGAUGAAAGGAUUAUAGUGUUUACAACCAAUCACAGGGCCCAGCUUGACCCAGUAUUGCUAAGACCAGGGCGUAUGGAUAUGCAGUUGCACAUGUCUUACUGCACUUUUAUUGGUUUCAAGAUACUUGCAUCAAACUAUUUGCAUGUUCAGGAGCAUCAAUUAUUUGAAGAAAUUGAACAUCUGUUGGAGAAGGUUCAGAUUACGCCUGCUGAAGUUGCAGGAGAGCUAAUGAAACAUAAAGAUGCAGAUCUUGCACUUCAAGAACUAAUCAAGUUCCUCCAAAACAAGCUAACAUCUAUAUUGCUGUAGGCAAAGCUAAAAGACCACAAGCAUCAAUAGUCCUUAGGAACUUUUUUCCUUUGUAGGAAAAGAAAAUGCAAGCAUUGUCUUGGCCAUCAACAUAAAGCAUAAUAUGCUAGGCUUUGUUAGUAAAAUUAUCAAAGACAGAUUAAUUUCUUUUUUGGCUCCUGCCUUUGUUCAAUUGCUGAACCUUGUGAAAAGAGACAUAUAACAAACAGGAAAAUUUUGCAAACUCAAACUCUCUAUUGCUUAAUCACUAUUAUCAAACCAGGUACAAGAUUUGAUGCAAACCAUCUAUGACUAAAAUUUGGGAGCUUGAGAAAAUUUUCAAAAUUUGGGAACCUCAGAAAAUUUUUAUUCUUACCAUUUUAAAGAUCUACACUGCCAUUUUCAUAUCUAUUUCCUAAUGGGAUCAUAACCAAUAAAUUCGAAAUCAGAUGCCUGAGAUGAAUCAAUGUACUUUUUCAGGGGAUUUAUCCUCAGAAUCUGCAGUCUAGGAGCAGGAGUAAUUGUAAGUUAGAAAAAAAAUCCACAAAUGGUAGCAACCUAAGCAGUCAAUCAAUUGAAAAUUGCCAUAGAUUGGCAUCAACUACUUAAUAUUUCUGAAUGUACGCCAAAACCAAUGGUACACUGAAAUUCUGGAACCCCGAUAGCAUUUCCUAGUAAGAACAUCCUCCAAAAUAAAAUGAUAUUAAUUUCUUCUUCUUCUUCUAGGAAGCUUCUGAAGCUACUUCUGCAGAGGGCUGAUGAGCAUCUCCAAUUACAUGGAUAAAGACCUGUGCAAACAUAUGAAAAGGUGGAAGUGCCAGUAAUUUGAGAUCUGAUGGAUUCCAUACUGUGAGGAUAAUACACCUGUCAUCUGGUCUAUUCCUGUUCUUGUCACUAACAUCUGUUGAUCAAAUCCUUGGCCUGGCACCAGAGUGUCUCCAAUGGAAGCCAUAUAUGGGUCCUCAGUAUCCUCUUCUCUAUCUUUCAGGCCAAUACUAGGAAAACAGAUACAGCAGUUGUGUUUGUACAGACAAAAGGUGUAAGUAAUGUGAUUUUUCGAGUCAAGUGGUUCCCUCAACGUAGUCUCCUGAAGAACAUCACUCCAUUGAACUCAAUUAGAAUUGCGCCUGCGCCUACAGAGGAAAGGGAGAGUGGCUAGGGUUUCCAACCGCCAAGAGUGAGAAGAGCAUCAGGCGAUUUUCCGACAACGUAAUUGGGAAUAAGCUUUUGUUGAUGGGAAGGAAAGGUGCAUAGAUACCAGAGGAGAGAGGACCGAGAGGGAAGUAAAACUGAGUAAGAAAAUCUUUUAAAUUUG